UACAGAGGUCUCGAGCGUUAAUCGGAGUUACUGGGCUUAAAGGGUGCGUAGGCGGCGCUGUAAGUGCUUUGUGAAAUCCCCGGGCCUAACCUGGGAACUGCAUUUGUGACUGCAUAGCUAGAGUCUGUCAGAGGGGGGUGGAAUUCCACGUGUAGCAGUGAAAUGCGUAGAGAUGUGGAAGAACACCGAUGGCGAAGGCAGCCCCCUGGGAUGAGACUGACGCUCAUGUACGAAAGCGUGGGGAGCAAACAGG
RNAcentral lists this ribosomal RNA (253 nucleotides) under uncultured prokaryote. Its description in RNAcentral is "partial 16S ribosomal RNA". It matches the Rfam family "Bacterial small subunit ribosomal RNA", at positions 524 to 776 of the family's 1533-position model. The record is from RNAcentral.